Haliotis rubra (blacklip abalone) is the source of this 650-nucleotide long non-coding RNA. RefSeq lists it as uncharacterized. Lineage: Eukaryota; Metazoa; Mollusca; Gastropoda; Lepetellida; Haliotidae. The record is from RefSeq and is a predicted model, not a curated record. The transcript is spliced from 9 exons.
UAGUUGCAGUCAAAUCUGGAACGAUUAUUUUAGAUGAAUGUGAUAAUUUGUUACUUAUUUACUCUUAUUCACUUCAGCUUUGGGUGGUUUCAAGCAACUAUCUGCUACACAAGAGGCUUGGCUGUCAGACUUGCAUGACGGACUAACACAGAGGAAAAAUCUUGUGUCCCGCUUCUCAGAUCGGUCAUAAUCCAAGAUAAAACGGAACAGAUCUGUCAAGACGUUAAAAUGUUCUCUUGAGAGAAGCUUUGGGGAUAACAGAAGCAUACAGAAUCAGAAACAAACCGUUGCUAUGGUUGGCCAUGUUCAAAGUCAGACAUUCAACAACAAAUGGAGAUGUUCCACAUUGAAUCAGAGAAUGCAGGAAUGGAAUCUAAUAUCCCACGGGUAUGGAAGGAAGGUGGCCAGAUAAAACGAUAUGGAAACUGAGGUUCAGAACACUGAUGGAAAAGAUCCACCAGAGGCCGCUGGGACGAGAUCAAACACUUAAUCAAGAACUGGACAACGUACUGAAGGACAGGGGAUCGUAGAAAAGGACAACUGCGCAAAUUAUACACGGUGGGUGGCAGGCUGUGAUGGAAUACCUGGCCAACCACAAGGCGGACUUAUCUAUGCUAGACAUAGAGAUACCAGGGUUUCAAGUCGUUGAG